This 548-nucleotide ribosomal RNA is filed under the name uncultured bacterium. RNAcentral describes it as "partial 16S ribosomal RNA". It matches the Rfam family "Bacterial small subunit ribosomal RNA", at positions 355 to 896 of the family's 1533-position model. The record is from RNAcentral.
UGGGGAAUUUUGGACAAUGGGCGCAAGCCUGAUCCAGCCAUGCCGCGUGCGGGAAGAAGGCCUUCGGGUUGUAAACCGCUUUUGUCAGGGAAGAAAUCUUCUGAGUUAAUACCUCGGGAGGAUGACGGUACCUGAAGAAUAAGCACCGGCUAACUACGUGCCAGCAGCCGCGGUAAUACGUAGGGUGCAAGCGUUAAUCGGAAUUACUGGGCGUAAAGCGUGCGCAGGCGGUUUUGUAAGACAGAGGUGAAAUCCCCGGGCUCAACCUGGGAACUGCCUUUGUGACUGCAAGGCUUGAGUGCGGCAGAGGGGGAUGGAAUUCCGCGUGUAGCAGUGAAAUGCGUAGAUAUGCGGAGGAACACCGAUGACGAAGGCAAUCCCCUGGGCCUGCACUGACGCUCAUGCACGAAAGCGUGGGGAGCAAACAGAUUAGAUACCCUGGUAGUCCACGCCCUAAAACGAUGUCAACUGGUUGUUGGGAAGGUUCCUUCUCAGUAACGUAGCUAACGCGUGAAGUUGACCGCCUGGGGAGUACGGCCGCAAGGUUG